UUCCAACAGGCUGAAGAUGCUGCAAUGCAGGAAUGAAAUCAAGCAAACACUACUAACAAAUUGUAAACAAUAUAGACAUGGUAAAUUUGUGUGGUUUUUAUCAUUUAAUUAAUCUUGAAAAACGUUUUUUUCCAUUUUCUUUCACAUUGUUGAAAAGUUUUUAAUUCGAUCCUUAUCUGGAAAAACGCUGCCAAGGUGAUCAAAUUGACAAGUACUUUGAAUUGCUAAUCAGAGUUGUUGCCAUUGUGAAUUUGUAACAAUAACUUGCACUUUGGGUACAAAACCCAUAAAAAAAACACCAUACCCAAUACCAAAAAAGAUGGAGGAUCCUUGUAUAUACGGCCACUCUGAAAAAUAUCCCAUUGAAGCAUUCCAUCGAACAGUAUGCUGGCAAAAUCCAAACUAACCCAGACAUAACAUACUCUAACCAGGUAAAAUCUGACUGAACAACAGGUACAUGAUCGCAUUUUCAGUUUCCUCGCUUAAAAAAAUAAUCUUGACAAUAAAUGGGUACAAAUAUUAACCAUCGGAAAUGAAUCAAUUACUCCUUGUAGUUGAAUAUUUCCCUAUAAUUGAAAAAACACUCCAUGAUGACACAAAGUUUGUUCAAACUUACAAGACACCCAUUUCUUUACAUCAAAACUGAGUUUCUCUAGUCUUGGUCUUUAGACCUCCUGAAAAAGACAGAUAUACUUUAGGUCAAAUAAAAUUGAAGUAUACCAUUAAUGCUGCACUGAUGAAAUCAUGAAAGCAUUUUUGAAUGUUUCCCAGAAGAAAAGGGAAAGAAAACAGGCAAUUUUCACAGGAAUGCUACCACAGUGCGCAGCUAUGUCUUCAGACUAAUAAAAGGCUCAGUAUGGAGAUUUACAGCAGUUCCACAGUUCAAUCUAAACUCUUCCCCUACUUCACUGCCUUCUUCCAUUCUAGAAUUUACAAUAAGAAAACGAAAGAUUUCGUUGAAUUAUUUUACAGCAACCAUGCGCGGGGGCGGCC
Molecule: long non-coding RNA, 993 nt
Filed under: Prunus persica (peach)
Lineage: Eukaryota; Viridiplantae; Streptophyta; Magnoliopsida; Rosales; Rosaceae
Description: long non-coding RNA (PPER_LNC005330)
Source: RNAcentral